GACGAACGCUGGCGGCGUGCUUAACACAUGCAAGUCGAACGGAAAGGCCCUGCUUUUGUGGGGUGCUCGAGUGGCGAACGGGUGAGUAACACGUGAGUAACCUGCCCUUGACUUUGGGAUAACUUCAGGAAACUGGGGCUAAUACCGGAUAGGAGCUCCUGCUGCAUGGUGGGGGUUGGAAAGUUUCGGCGGUUGGGGAUGGACUCGCGGCUUAUCAGCUUGUUGGUGGGGUAGUGGCUUACCAAGGUUUUGACGGGUAGCCGGCCUGAGAGGGUAACCGGGCACAUUGGGACUGAGAUACGGCCCAGACUGCUACGGGAGGCAGCAGUGGGAAAUAUUGCACAGUGGGCGGAAGCCUGAUGCAGCAACGCCGCGUGCGGGAUGACGGCCUUCGGGUUGUAAACCGCUGUCGCCGGUAACGAAGCGUGAGUGACGGUAAUGGGUAAAGAAGCACCGGCUAACUACGUG
This 468-nucleotide ribosomal RNA is filed under the name uncultured bacterium. RNAcentral describes it as "partial 16S ribosomal RNA". It matches the Rfam family "Bacterial small subunit ribosomal RNA", at positions 28 to 507 of the family's 1533-position model. The record is from RNAcentral.